Molecule: long non-coding RNA, 2451 nt
Filed under: Homo sapiens (human)
Lineage: Eukaryota; Metazoa; Chordata; Mammalia; Primates; Hominidae
Description: non-protein coding lnc-ITGA6-3:1
Source: RNAcentral
CGUUUGUAAUUCUGAGGCUCUCUACACGGUUCACUUGGGACUGUAUGUUAAGGCUGCUGUUAACUAUAAAACAGGUUAAACUGUAUUUCAGAGUAGGCAUAAUUAAUGAGGGUGUUAUUUCAGGAACAAUGAUAGGGAUUGUGAAUAGUCAAGAUUCAUUCUAGAAUGAGCAAGAAAUUUGCUGGAAAAAAGAGGUGUAAUGAAAAAGGAAGCUUCUUUCUAUUUCUGAUGAGGAGCUUGGUAUGUCUGUAGUUUGAUUUUGUAACAAUUGUUUUCCCUGAAGUAAUUUGGAUGCUGCAUUAGUCUGAUUAUUAUGAUUUCCUGUUUAGAACCCAGAUACCUUCUCGAUAUGUCCCCAAUAGCAUAUUUCUGGAAAUGACUUCAACCAAUUACAUUAGCUCUCAUUCCCUUGGUUUCUAUGUGGUUGACCAGACAGGAAUCAGGCUGCCUGAGUGUGCAAUCCAGAUAGCAAGAGGCAGUCGGUAGAGAGAGUGUGAAAUUGCCCUGAGAUACUGUGUGGUCUGCAGGCGGGUCCAAGUGAAGGAAUGUGAUGCAGCUGAGGCCUCGGGGGUGGGGCCGGGGGGCAUAUUUUUGAUGUCUGAAAUAUCUUGACCAACUGGCCUUUCAGGGAUAAUUUUGAUGACCAUGUUUCAUCUGGUGCCGAGUCUACUUCUGGUGCUUGACUCAUGAAGGUAUCAGUGAUGACAAGGAUAAUGAAAUUUAUCUUCAAACCUACUCCCCUUAAAUGUAGUAGAUGUAAGCACUGGGACAAAUCUGAAAAGAGUCUUCAGCAUCUCCUUAAGGUUACUACUAUUAUGGAUAAUAGUGCUGUAUCAUUUACAAAACCAUAGCCAUAUUGUGCAGCAGGUAUUAUUAUUCCUGUUUUACAGAUGUGUAAACUGAGGCACAGAGAGGUUCAGGGAUAUACUAAUGUUGCCUACCGAGUGAGCAGUGGAGGUGGGAUUUGACCCCAGUUGCCUGAAUCCAAAUCAUCCCGUUCCCAUCUUCUCCCCUAAUGAUGUCAUGCCCCAUGCUGCAUCGGUGGAGGGGUUUUAUGGGAGAGUGACAGGAGCCUUCAGCUCCUUCUGUGGUACCCCUUGCACUCUGUGAAUCCACCAAGGGAGGAGAACACUCCAAGACUGCCCCAAAGGGGUAUGUGCCCUCGCCUGCGCAGAUGCUGGCUGUCAGAGGACUGAGGAAUUUCCCCAGGGGGAGAUUUUCCCAACCACUACAUUAACCUGUUCAAAGAUCCUGUCCAGCUCUGCAAGAUUAGCUGAGAUCUGAGGCAUUUAGCAUGGAAAGAACACAUUCUUCUAAAGAGUCAUUUCAGCCAUUCUACCUAUGCACAUCUGAGUUUAAAAAAGGAGAGAAAGAGGGCAAACCUACUUCAAAGUGGCCUAUUUGGCAGUUGACCAUUGGAAGGCUAAUGAUAAUGACAAAAACUGAAAACAGGAGGCACUCUCUUAUGGUGUCUUGUCCUCUAGAUAUGCAUAAGAUAUGCAAAGGCACUGUGGAACUCGAUGAAACACUCAGCCUGCAAGAGUGCAGUGGGGAACAAAAUACUCAGAAAGUAGAGACUGUUUUAUUUAUGGGAUGGGGUCUCACUUUGUUCCCCAGGCUGGAGUGCAGCGGUGCAAUCAUAGCUCACUGUAGCCUUGAACUCCUGGGCUCAAGUGAUUCUCCUACACCAGCCUCCUGAGUAGCUAGGACUACAGUGCAUACCACCAUGGCCACUAAUUUUUUAAUAAAUAUUUUGUAGAGACAGGGUCCUGCUCUAUUGUCUAGACUGGCUUCAAACUCCUGGCCUCAAGCGAUCCUCCUGCCUCAGCUUGGUUGCUGAGGCAACAGGGGCACGACACUGGUCUUGGCCAACAUUUUAAACUUUAUUUGGCAAAACCAAUUCUUUUGCUACUUCCCUACUGCACUCAGGAUGGGGACACAGGAGCUGGGAGAAAUUUCACCAAGAAAGAAGUGGUUAUGUACAGCACAGACAAUAGGCUGGCAGGUUUCAUUUCCCCCCAGUCCUAUAAAAGAAAGCAUGUAACUUGAAACCAGUUUAAUGAAGUAACUCCAGGAUUCCAGUAGCUGGUUACUCUGGGCCAGAAAGCCUGGAACCACCAAGAUUCCUAAGGAUGUGGUGGACAGGGGCUGGGCACCCACGAGGCUGCAGCAGCUGUCAGCCAUUAUCCCUAAAAUAAUGCUCUUCCAGGCCUGGGAGCACAGAGGCCUUUGAGAAGGUCAGUGAGUGCGGCUGCCAGUCACAGCUUCAGUGGCUUUGCACAGCUGGGCUCCAUUCUGGAAUCUGGAAUCCUCAGUGCAAACUGUCAGGGCUACGUGUCUGUGCUGGGCCUGCUGAGAGGCAAAAUGAGUCCUUUGGGAUUUGAAAUCUAGCAGUUUUGGAUUAGGUGAGACUAAGAGUUCUCUGGAUUUAGCUGAGUCCAAGGUGCUUAU